This is a long non-coding RNA of Neltuma alba, 436 nucleotides long. RefSeq lists it as uncharacterized. The transcript has 2 exons. The record is from RefSeq and is a predicted model, not a curated record. Lineage: Eukaryota; Viridiplantae; Streptophyta; Magnoliopsida; Fabales; Fabaceae.
UCACAGCAAACCCUAUCUGAUCUAUUACUCUGACCAAUAUACAAUCUGUGGAAGAAGAAGCAGUAUGAGUUCUUCAAGCAUCAACAUCCAGAGCAUUCUUUGCCCUACGCCUCCUCCCACACAGGGUUCUAAAACCAGACCAGCCACUCGCAUUCCAAACUCCAAGGAUCACUUCUCCAAGAGUCGAUGAUGACACACUUCACAAUUCCAUGCAUUUCUCAGAUUAAUCUUGCGGAUGAAGCCGCUGCAUCAUUGAUUAUGGAUCGUUAAUGAUUGGGUCACAUGAAGGGAGAAUCGAAAUAGUUGCAAAUAUAUGUAGGGCACAUUACUAUAUAUAUGUUAUAUUCUUUAUUCGUUCGUUUUUAUGUUUGAUUUGAUCAUUUGUUGUCUUAUACAAACAGUGGAGUUAGUUAAUAAUAUUCGUUUAUUCGAAAGC